UGUCAAGGAAUUGGGUCAACCUUGGCGCUUGUAGAAUAUUUAUAAACCUAGGCGCUUCUAAACCAUAUAUAUUUGAUUCAAUGACGCUUUUUAAGUUGAUGCUUUUGGAAGUGUCAUGGUUGGAAAUGGAAGGUAACCUUGGCACUUUUAUAAGUGUCAUUGAAAUGGAGUUCAGACAUUGGCACUUAUAUUAAGCGUCAUUGAAUUUACUAGUAUAUAUUUCUUUCUUUUUCCUCAUCCUAACACAUUACGCUCUCAUCCCAACCCUUGGAGCCCUAAGCCAGGACAAUCACCCACAUCUUCAACCACCACCAGCACUAAUCGAUGAGAAAAUGUUACGAACAUGUUGAAGGUACUCUCAUUUCAUUUCUUUUUGGUUUGUUUGCUUACCUAGAAAAUGAGAGAAAAAACCAUAAAUUAGGUUUAAAUUUUUUGAAUCUAAAAUCUUGAAAUUUUUUGGAUCCAAAAUCUUGAAUUGGUUGAUUAGAUUGUUUCAGUUAUAUAUAACCUUCUGAUUUUUAUGUUUGAUUGAGAAAAAUGUGAGAGGGAUUUGAAAAAUGCAGAUACCCUAUUUUCCUAAACCCUAACUCUUUAAACAAUCCAUUAUUGAGGCUUUCUCCAUUGUAAGGAACCUCGGGGUGCACUUGUUUUAUCCAUUAUCAGCUUCUAGAAUUGACUGCAUUUUUUCUUGGUUUCUCGAUCCACUUUACUUAACACCUCUGGUGCUGCUCCUAGAAGGGGCAAUCAGUGUAUAGAAUGAUGCCAGUUGUUUAAAUAUGUUUCACUUGUCCAAUAAAUGGUUGAAUUUUUGUUUAAGGUUUGGAGUAACACCAUUGAGUCCAUUAUGCAUACAAUUUUUAUUUCAGAAUUUCUUAAUUUUCUGAAAUGUUUUAUGUGCAGUGUUUGGGUUGCACGCAGACCACCAGGCUAUGCUUUUAUCGACUUUGAUGACCGGAUGAUGCCAAUGACAAGCUUGCAAAGGAAAUUGGCUUACAAGAAGAAGAGAAAUCAUUACAAUAAAGCGAUGUUGGAAAUCAUGAAGAUGAUAUCAUUUAAAUCUUUAAAAGGUUGAACUAGACUUUUGUUGAUGGUGGUUUCUUUUUGUAGUUAUUGCACCAGUAUUUGUUCUUAUAUUGGAUUUAAAAAUUCUCAUUGAAAUAUUUUGAUCUAAUGAACAAAUUUAUAAUUUGUAUACAAGUAAUUAUACUAAUUAUU
Long non-coding RNA from Vitis vinifera (wine grape), 1215 nucleotides. RefSeq lists it as uncharacterized. NCBI's taxonomy places the organism in Eukaryota, Viridiplantae, Streptophyta, Magnoliopsida, Vitales, Vitaceae. The record is from RefSeq and is a predicted model, not a curated record. The transcript is spliced from 3 exons.